UACGUAGGGUGCGAGCGUUGUCCGGAAUUAUUGGGCGUAAAGAGCUCGUAGGCGGUCUGUUGCGUCGGCUGUGAAAACCCGGGGCUCAACUCCGGGCCUGCAGCCGAUACGGGCAGACUGGAGUACUGCAGGGGAGACUGGAAUUCCUGGUGUAGCGGUGGAAUGCGCAGAUAUCAGGAGGAACACCGGUGGCGAAGGCGGGUCUCUGGGCAGUAACUGACGCUGAGGAGCGAAAGCGUGGGGAGCGAACAGG
This 253-nucleotide ribosomal RNA is filed under the name uncultured bacterium. Its description in RNAcentral is "partial 16S ribosomal RNA". It matches the Rfam family "Bacterial small subunit ribosomal RNA", at positions 524 to 776 of the family's 1533-position model. The record is from RNAcentral.